UUCAUUUGCCGUUUUCGUUUGAUUUUCGGGUUUGGAUUAUUUCUCAACUAUUAGUGUUUAGACAGAUAUGUAUGGUGUAAUCCAGUUUGUUGAUAUUGAUGAAAAUUUUUGUAAUUAUUUCUCCCAAAGGUUAAUGAAAACACUACGAAUAAAAACAAUGACCAGUCAUAAUAAUGGUUACGUCUUAACUUAAUCAUCAUUAUUAGCUAUUAAAUUUUGU
RNAcentral lists this long non-coding RNA (220 nucleotides) under Gossypium barbadense (sea-island cotton). RNAcentral describes it as "long non-coding RNA (GBAR_LNC001447)". The record is from RNAcentral. Lineage: Eukaryota; Viridiplantae; Streptophyta; Magnoliopsida; Malvales; Malvaceae.